GCAUUUAGUAGCUCAAAGGGUAGAGCACUAGAAAAAGAAGUCUUGUCAAAGGCUUUAACAGCAAGUUCUUUAGGGAUUUAGGUGUCGCAGGUUCGAAUCCUGCCUAGUGCG
Molecule: transfer RNA, 111 nt
Filed under: Lachnospiraceae bacterium
Lineage: Bacteria; Bacillati; Bacillota; Clostridia; Lachnospirales; Lachnospiraceae
Description: tRNA-OTHER
Rfam family: tRNA
About the family: Transfer RNA (tRNA) molecules are approximately 80 nucleotides in length. Their secondary structure includes four short double-helical elements and three loops (D, anti-codon, and T loops).
Source: RNAcentral